Molecule: ribosomal RNA, 211 nt
Filed under: uncultured bacterium
Lineage: Bacteria
Description: partial 16S ribosomal RNA
Rfam family: Bacterial small subunit ribosomal RNA
Source: RNAcentral
CCGUUCUCAGUUCGGAUCGGAGUCUGNAACCCGACUCCGUGAAGCUGGAUUCGCUAGUAAUCGCGCAUCAGCCAUGGCGCGGUGAAUACGUUCCCGGGCCUUGUACACACCGCCCGUCAAGCCAUGGGAGCCGGGGGUGCUUGAAGUGCGUCGCCGCAAGGCGCGCCCUAGAGCAAAACCGGUGACUGGGGCUAAGUCGUAACAAGGUAGC